RNAcentral lists this ribosomal RNA (202 nucleotides) under uncultured bacterium. RNAcentral's name for it is "partial 16S ribosomal RNA". It matches the Rfam family "Bacterial small subunit ribosomal RNA", at positions 524 to 721 of the family's 1533-position model. The record is from RNAcentral.
UACGUAGGGGGCAAGCGUUAUCCGGAUUUACUGGGUGUAAAGGGAGCGCAGGCGGUAUGGCAAGGUCAAGAUGUCGAAAACCCAGGGCUCAACCCUGGGACUGCAUUUGAAACUGCCAUACUGGAGUGCCGGAGAGGUAAGUGGAAUUCCUAAGUGUAGCGGUGAAAUGCGUAGAUAUUAGGAGGAACACCAGUGGCGGAGG